RNAcentral lists this ribosomal RNA (266 nucleotides) under uncultured bacterium. RNAcentral's name for it is "partial 16S ribosomal RNA". It matches the Rfam family "Bacterial small subunit ribosomal RNA", at positions 793 to 1055 of the family's 1533-position model. The record is from RNAcentral.
GUCCUUGCCGUAAACGAUGUGUACUUGAUGUAGUUGGGCUCAACCCUGACUGUGUCGUAGCGAACGCGAUAAGUACACCGCCUGGGGAGUACACUCGCAAGGGUGAAACUCAAAAGAAUUGACGGGGACCCCGCACAAGCAGUGGAGUAUGUGGUUUAAUUCGAUGCAACGCGAAAAACCUUACCUAGGUUUGACAUAUAUGAGACCAAGUAAGAAAUGAUUCUUUCCCGCAAGGGACUCAUAAACAGGUGCUGCAUGGCUGUCGU